GGGCCUAUAGCUCAGCUGGUUAGAGCACACGCCUGAUAAGCGUGAGGUCGGUGGUUCAAGUCCAUUUAGGC
RNAcentral lists this transfer RNA (71 nucleotides) under Candidatus Phytoplasma solani. Its description in RNAcentral is "partial tRNA-Ile". It matches the Rfam family "tRNA". From Rfam's summary of the family: Transfer RNA (tRNA) molecules are approximately 80 nucleotides in length. Their secondary structure includes four short double-helical elements and three loops (D, anti-codon, and T loops). Further hydrogen bonds mediate the characteristic L-shaped molecular structure. tRNAs have two regions of fundamental functional importance: the anti-codon, which is responsible for specific mRNA codon recognition, and the 3' end, to which the tRNAs corresponding amino acid is attached (by aminoacyl-tRNA synthetases). tRNAs cope with the degeneracy of the genetic code in two manners: having more than one tRNA (with a specific anti-codon) for a particular amino acid; and 'wobble' base-pairing, i.e. permitting non-standard base-pairing at the 3rd anti-codon position. Lineage: Bacteria; Bacillati; Mycoplasmatota; Mollicutes; Acholeplasmatales; Acholeplasmataceae. The record is from RNAcentral.